This 492-nucleotide ribosomal RNA is filed under the name uncultured bacterium. RNAcentral's name for it is "partial 16S ribosomal RNA". It matches the Rfam family "Bacterial small subunit ribosomal RNA", at positions 29 to 507 of the family's 1533-position model. The record is from RNAcentral.
AGUGAACGCUGGCGGUAGGCCUAACACAUGCAAGUCGAACGGCAGCACAGUAAGAGCUUGCUCUUACGGGUGGCGAGUGGCGGACGGGUGAGGAAUACAUCGGAAUCUACUUUUUCGUGGGGGAUAACGUAGGGAAACUUACGCUAAUACCGCAUACGACCUACGGGUGAAAGCAGGGGAUCUUCGGACCUUGCGCGAUUGAAUGAGCCGAUGUCGGAUUAGCUAGUUGGCGGGGUAAAGGCCCACCAAGGCGACGAUCCGUAGCUGGUCUGAGAGGAUGAUCAGCCACACUGGAACUGAGACACGGUCCAGACUCCUACGGGAGGCAGCAGUGGGGAAUCUUGGACAAUGGGCGCAAGCCUGAUCCAGCCAUACCGCGUGGGUGAAGAAGGCCUUCGGGUUGUAAAGCCCUUUUGUUGGGAAAGAAAAGAAGCAGGUUAAUACCCCGCUGUUCUGACGGUACCCAAAGAAUAAGCACCGGCUAACUUCGUG